This is a long non-coding RNA of Hippocampus comes (tiger tail seahorse), 366 nucleotides long. RefSeq lists it as uncharacterized. The record is from RefSeq and is a predicted model, not a curated record. The transcript has 2 exons. NCBI's taxonomy places the organism in Eukaryota, Metazoa, Chordata, Actinopteri, Syngnathiformes, Syngnathidae.
GAAUUGCGUUCUCUCCUUUCCUUGGGAUUUUUCUUCUGUCCAACGUGGCCACUUUCUCUCCUCAGGGUUCCUUCCUGGUCUACCAGAUCGAUUCGGACGACGAAGAUGACGUCAAGUGUUACAUCACCAAAGGGAUCCCCCAAAACUCGCCGGUCAAGGUGCUGGUUCGCGUCUACGUGGUCAAGGGCAGCAAUCUGGCUCCCGCUGACCCCAACGGCAAAGCCGACCCGUACCUGCUGCUCCGCGUUGGGCAACAGUGUCAAGACACCAAAGACCGCUACAUCCCCAAACAACUCAACCCUGUCUUUGGGGAGUGAGUCGCAAUUUUGUUUUUCGAACAGCUUUUUUCCUUAACCGCAGUCGUAC